UACGAAGGGGGCGAGCGUUGUUCGGAUUUACUGGGCGUAAAGCGUGCGUAGGCGGUUUCUUAAGUCUGUUGUGAAAGCCCUGGGCUCAACCUGGGAACUGCGAUGGAUACUGAGAAGCUGGAGUACGGUAGAGGAAGGUGGAACUGCGAGUGUAGAGGUGAAAUGCGCAGAUAUCAGGAGGAACACCGGUGGCGAAGGCGGGUCUCUGGGCCGGAACUGACGCUAAGGAGCGAAAGCGUGGGGAGCAAACAGG
Molecule: ribosomal RNA, 253 nt
Filed under: uncultured bacterium
Lineage: Bacteria
Description: partial 16S ribosomal RNA
Rfam family: Bacterial small subunit ribosomal RNA
Source: RNAcentral